Molecule: ribosomal RNA, 254 nt
Filed under: uncultured prokaryote
Description: partial 16S ribosomal RNA
Rfam family: Bacterial small subunit ribosomal RNA
Source: RNAcentral
UGCGAGGGGAGCAAGCGUUGUUCGGAUUUACUGGGCGUAAAGGGCGCGUAGGCGGCCACGACAAGUCACUUGUGAAAUCUCCGGGCUUAACUCGGAAUGGCCAAGUGAAACUGUCAGGCUAGAGUGCAGAAGGGGCAAUCGGAAUUCUUGGUGUAGCGGUGAAAUGCGUAGAUAUCAAGAGGAACACCUGCGGCGAAGGCGGGUUGCUGGGCUGACACUGACGCUGAAGCGCGAAAGCCAGGGGAGCGAACGGG